GCCCCUAUGGCGUAGUGGUAGCGCGUGUCACUUGUAAUGACAAGGUCUCUCGUUCGAUCCGGGAUGGGGGCA
Xylariales sp. No.14919 is the source of this 72-nucleotide non-coding RNA. The record is from the annotation of a GenBank genome assembly. NCBI's taxonomy places the organism in Eukaryota, Fungi, Ascomycota, Sordariomycetes, Xylariales.